This is a non-coding RNA of Punica granatum (pomegranate), 87 nucleotides long. Lineage: Eukaryota; Viridiplantae; Streptophyta; Magnoliopsida; Myrtales; Lythraceae. The record is from Rfam.
UGUUGUGGAUGAUGAGACAUUGAAUUUUUACAGUUAUCCCUGUCUGAUGAAGAUCAGGUGAUGAAAUCAUGUAAAUCUGACACAACC